RNAcentral lists this ribosomal RNA (357 nucleotides) under Triticum aestivum (bread wheat). Its description in RNAcentral is "partial small subunit ribosomal RNA". Lineage: Eukaryota; Viridiplantae; Streptophyta; Magnoliopsida; Poales; Poaceae. The record is from RNAcentral.
AUGCUCGCGUCUCCCCCACCGGUGACUGGUUGUGCCGCCAGCCAUGGCCACCACGCCUCCCCCACUAUGGCUGCCCCCACCCCGCCCCCUCACCCCCCCACCAGCGACCAGCGCUACAAACCAACACCCACCGGUGCUGCCAAUGGCGGCGAGGAGUGGUGGAGAGCCGCGGCGGCCGGUGUUGGGGCGUUGCAACCACGGCGACAAGUGAUGGAGAUCCAUCAUUUUCUUUGCAUGGAAGCAGCCCCAUUUUUUGCUGCCAACGCCCUUGCUUUUUGCUGGAACCAGUACAUGGCGGUGCAAGUUGUCAACGGUGGCGAGCCGGAGACAGGGACGUCGGGGAUGCUCCAACCAUGA